ACGCGGCAGCUAGGAGGGGUUUUCUGGGUGUAGAUUGGAAGAUACAGACCGCAGACCGUAAUAUGUAAUGACACUUCUCACUUUAAAAAGGGAUGUUAUUUCCCAAAUGAGCGCUUAAAAUUUUUUAAAUGGCCCCAUAACUACCGGAGCCCGGGCGCCGGGUUCACGCGAGCCCGCAGGAACACCGCCAAGGCGGACGCUCAGCUCACCUUCCCGCCCGGCGAGUCAGAAGGCCCGGGAUUCUGUGUGUGACCGCAUCUUCCGGUUCCCGCCGGAAGUUUUUCAAACGCCGGAAGUCCCGCCUCGCUUCCUCCUGACUCGCGGCAGCAGCUCAGACUGCAGGAGCGGGAUGGAGCCAAGCUGGACGGAGGCGGGGCUAAGGCGACGAUCCUUCGGGAGCUCUGAGGCGGGGCCCUACCCGGGGUGUGGCGGGACUGGAAACCAGCACUCUCUCCCCGGAUACUGCCAGAAGCGGAGCCCGCGAGAACGAGCAGGAGAGGGGCAGAAGACUGAGACUUGGGAGGAAACCAAGAGUUGGAUGCUUACCCGACUGAGCCACCCAGAUAUUUCCCUCCUCACUCAUCUAGAUGCUGCUAGAUGGUUCUUCUGGAAGUCAAAGUCUAACAAAAACAGAACAUCUGAUAUAUGUAUGCCUUGCCUUAUGGGACAGAUUCAUCAGUAGAACUGUCAAGGAAGCAAUGAGGGAAAUAGCUAUAUUGAACUUAAUUUUAACCAGCAAAUAUCUAGUUGAUGAUUUACAAGUGACAAAAAUCCUGGGAAAAAGGAGUGAUGUCUGCUGGAGUUAGUAGCUGGCCAGGCACAGUGCUGGACUCUGGAUGAAGAGUGAUGCAUGCAGGCACAGCCCUUCCUUCACAGUGCUCGUCUGUCAUUACUAGGAACAAACACAAAACUGUGCAAAUCUGAAUGAAGCAGUGGUGUCGACUCAUGUCCAGGUGACUUUUUUAUUUUUAUUUUUUAUUUUUUUAAUUUUUUACUUUAGAAAGGAAGAGAGAGUGUGUGAGCAGGGGAGAGGAGCAGAGGGAGGGAGGGAAAGAGAGAGAGAAUCUCAAGCAGGCUGCACGCUCAGUGCGGUUCCCAAUGCAGAGUCCCAUGACCCUGGGAUCAUGACCUGAGCCGAAAUUAAGAGUCAGAUGCUCAGCUGACUAAGCCACCCAGGCGCCCCUCCAAUUGCAUUUUUUAAAUUUGAAUUUAUGAUUCUAACAUUUUAUUUGUCAACAUAGUUAUGGGAUUCAAAAUGCAAAACAUAUGAAAAGGAAUGUAAUAGAAAUUAUCACCUCUGUUCCCCAAACACUUAAUACCCAUCCCUAUGAGCAACCUGUGUCACUGAUUUCUUGCAAAUCCUCCUAGGGAAAAUUUUUUGCGUAUGCAAUCAAUUGAAAUAAUAUAUUUUAUCAAACCUAGGAUGCCAUUAAUUGCAUAUAAGAUGCAAAUAUUGUUUAUAUAUACUGUAUAUACUAUUUAUUAUAUAUACUAUAAAUAUGGUAUAUUAUUUUAAUACUACAAAAGAUUUUUUAAAGCCCUGCCAAUUAAACUAUGUUUUGGUGUCGAUUGUACAAUGAAUUCUAAUUUCAAAGACAUCAAAAAUGUGAAAACCUGUGCAUUUUAGAACCAAUGAAAUAUGGUCUAUAUAUUUUUUAAAAUUUUACACAAAAGAUAGUAGCCUACAUUUAUUAUUUGUACCAUGCUUGCUUCACUUAACAAUAUUUCCUGGAGCUUAUUUCGUAUCAAUAUCUGAGGCAUUUUAUUCUCGUUUUUAAUGUGGGAGCACUGUGAAAAGUAGUCUUUAAUGAGUAUGCCCUAUGUCAGAAAGUGAAAAGGGAAAGAACAGGACACUCUUUGGAAAAGAUCACGAAUAAGCUGCAGAGGACUGGAGAAGAAAACCCAGUGAUGCUUAUUGUGUUUCUUCUCCAUGGAUAAAGAUAUUCAAAUCGGAAAGUGUAGAACAAAUAUCAUGAAGAAAGACUUAAGUUUGCCAUAAAAGAAAAAAAAAACUCAAAGAUGAUAUUGAGUCCUUUUACAGAAGUUAAAGUCUCUGAGUGUGCAGAAAGACAAAUCACAACUAAACACAGAUGUAACAACACACAGAUGUAACAAAAUCAUUCUUGGGAAUUACUGUGAAAUAUGAAGGAAAGAAGAGGUGACUGGGGAUGGUAUGAAAGGUGUUUACAAAAGGCGAAAAUGUAGAUUAUGCUAUAUACAGAUUUGUAAAGUUUCUCAUUCACAAAACUUUUAUAAUAUAUUAUUAAAAAGAUAGUUUAGGGGUUCCUGGGUGGCUCAAUCGGUUAAGUGUCCAACUUUGGCUCAGGUCAUGAUCUUGUGGUUCACGGGUUCGGGCCCCACAUUGGGCUCUGUGCUGACAGCCCAGAGCCUGGAGCCUCUUCAGAUUCUAUGUCUCCCUCUCUCUCUGCCCCUCCCCUGCUCGCAUUCUGUCUCUCUCAAAAAAAAAAGACAUUAAAAAAAAUGUUUUUAAUAAAAAGAUAGUUUGUUAGCAUUUAAAAAGUAAAAAUGUCAUACUUUUUUUUUGUAAUUUAAAGAAAAAGAGGUAAUUAGGAAGGCCCAGAAUAGGUUCGCUGGAAAUUUUAUGCCUAGCUUAUGCCAUCUAGGUGUCUAAAGUGAUGGCUUACUUUGCCAGCGAACUAAAUGGUUAUACCCUGUCAACAGUCAGGUGACUGUUCCCUUCACCUGUGCCCUGAGUGACCUAUAAAGAACAACAAACAUGCAUUGUGUGUCAACCACACUCAAACAAAAAAAGAUUCUCCCCCUCAAAAAAGAAGAAAAGAACAGCAAGCAUAACCCGGGGAAAAAUGGAACUCGAUUCAAAUCCUGUCUUUGACACUGCGUAGUGACCUUGGGCAUGUCACUUCAUCUUACUUUUCUUUCUCUAAAAUGAAGAGAUUACAUUUAUUAUUUCCUAACUUUGUUCCAAUGAAUUACAUUUUAAUUAAACCUGGUUGUGAUUACAUUAUAUAUAACUAUCUAUAUUUUAACUAUAACCUGGAGAAUUUGGAAGAUCUAGAGUUUGUUUGUGUAAGUAAGCAAAGUGUCUGCUGUCUUUCAUGAAAUCUUCAUGGAAGUGAUGAAGAAAUGUGGAUUCGAUUUCCACCUAGUUCCAAUCAGGCUGGCAAUUCCACACAACGUGUUCAUUGAUAAAUCAAAUAAAAUCAUUCUACUGGGGAAAAAAAACAAUUUCUGAAAUCAGUAAAAGGAAAUUUAAUAAAUUUGUCCUUGAACUCCUCUAUUUCUAACAGUUUGGAGGUUCCUCAAAAAGUUAAACAUAGGAUCUAGCAAUUCCACCCUAAAUAUAUACCCCCGAGAAAUCAAAGAUGUAUUCAUAUAAAAACUUACACAUGAGUGUUCGUAUCAGCACUAUGUAUAAUAAGCAGGAAGUGGAAAUGACCCAACUGAACAUCAGUUGAUGAAAGGAUAAAUGAAAUGUAGCACAUUUAUACAAUGGAAUAUUAUCCAGCUGUUAAAGGGAAUGAAGUACUGAUAUAUACUACAGUAUGGCUGAAUCUUAAAAACAUGAUCCUAAAUGAAAGAAGACAGACACAAAAGACCACAUAUUAUAUGGUUCUGCUUAUAUGAAAUGUCCAGAAUAGGCAAAUGAAUACAGACAGAAAAUACAUUGUUGGUUGGCAGGGUAAUUGGAAUGGGGCGAUGGGGAAUG
Molecule: long non-coding RNA, 3688 nt
Organism: Acinonyx jubatus (cheetah)
Lineage: Eukaryota; Metazoa; Chordata; Mammalia; Carnivora; Felidae
Exons: 3
Source: RefSeq, a predicted model, not a curated record